Molecule: small RNA, 3159 nt
Filed under: Pan troglodytes (chimpanzee)
Lineage: Eukaryota; Metazoa; Chordata; Mammalia; Primates; Hominidae
Description: retained intron
Source: RNAcentral
GAAGAGAAGCAUGAGGUUACAUCUGUAAUCUCCCUGCAGCAGAGUCAACUGCAUAAGAAACCAAAAGACACACCUGCUCCAUGCCAGCCUAAGCCACCACAUAAAAAGUCAGACCAUCUGCUGGAAGAACCACAUGGAGAGGCCCUGAGUCGACAUGGAGAGGAAGAAGGACUUAACUGAAUCCAGCCUUCCAGCUGUCCCUACCAAGGUGCCAGGCACGAGAAUGAAGCUGUCUUGGACUCUGAAGACCAGCUUAGCCACCAGGUAAAUGCCACUAAGUGACCUCACUCAAUGUCAUGUGGGACGGAAGAAUCACCCCGCCAAACCCUUCCUGGAUCCCUGACCCAGAAAUUUGUCAGAUGUAAUGGUUGUGAAAAGCCACUCAAUUUGGGGGCAGUUUGUAUGCAGCAUAGCUAGCUGGUAUGAUACAACAGCCUGCAAUUCAGGCAGCAGCAGCACUAACAACGAUGAAAUCCUGCAGGAGCGAACUCCUUUGGGGUGCCUGCCUAAUUGUUUUCUUUUCUGAGAGUCUCCUCCCCAGUAUCCCCUAAACCACCAUCCUGCAUCUUUCUCCCCCACUAGCCUCCGUGGGAGACAUAUGACCCACAUUGGGCCGGGUGGAUUCUCUCCCUGCCAACUCCCUUCCUCCCUUCCACAGUUGAUGGGAGUAGACAUUUGACUAGAGCUGGGCCAGGCAGAUCCUCUCUCCCAGAUAUGUGGGACCAGGAAUCAGAGGUGGCUGAUCAUUCUGCGUCUGUGGCUAGUAGUCCUUGAGAUGCAAGUUUGGAGGGGCUGGAGGCAACUAUCUCCCUACAAUGUGUAGGGAAACAUAGAGAAAGCUGGUCUGCGGUGGGAAAAGAAUGAUGCGGAUGUGUAGCCAAGUAGAGAGAAGGGGCUUCCUUCUGUUGACCUUCCUUCUGCUGGGUGGGGGCGACAGGGAGUGAGGCAAGCCCAGCCUUGUCUCCUAGCCUCCUCUAAGCACCACUCACUCAGAAAGCCCAACACCAAGCUCCUCCUCUUGCCAAACUAAUUCGAAUCUUGCCUUCCCCACCCUGAUUAAGGGCACCCAUCCUUUGUCUGAACUUAUCUUAAGGAGAGACAGCUAUUCUUUUUUUCUCCCUGACCUCUCAAGUCCAACUGGUCAGCAAACCCUGCCUGUCCUACCUUGACCCAUGGCAAUGGGCCUACUCUUGCCCCCACACUGUCCCUAGAUCUCUCUUUCCUUUUAGAGACAGGGUCUUGCUCUACCACCUGGUGCAGUGGUAUGAUCAUAGCUCACUGCAACUUCAAAUUCUUAGGCUCAAGUAAUCCUCUGGCCUUGGCCUCCCAAAGCACUGGGAUUACAGGCAUGAGCCACUGCACCCAGCCCCAGAUCUCUCUCUCGACACAGAUCUGGUCAUGCCACCACUCUGCUCACAGACCUCCCAUGCUCCCCCUUUGUCCUGGUUAGCAGUGGCCUUCACAACUGUGGCAGAUGGUCUUGCUGCAGGUCAGUGACUGCCCUGACAAACUUUACAAGCUGCUCUCCACAAACCCUGCUUAUUUUCCCACUUCUUCCUUCCCUCUGGAUGGAAUCUUCAUCUACCCUUCCCUGCCUGGAAAACUCAAACCACACUCAAGGUCAGACUCGAAUGACACCUCAUUUAUGAAAUAUCCCCUGGCUUCUGUGUGCUAAGCGCAGUGCUAAACAUUUUCCUUGCAUAACCUCUACAUACCAAACUGGAGGUGAUGGUCUCCUUUUUACAGAGGAAGAAACUGAGGGUCACAGAAGGUAAGCAGCCCCCUUAAGGCCUCAUGUCAGGCAAGUGUGAGAGUCAGGAUUGCUGCCCACAGCUGUCAGCCUGAAAGCUGCUCUCAUCUACCACACUGUUCUCUGUGACCUUUUAAUCCUCCCUCCUCCUUGGGGGCAAGGGAGGGGGACUCAUGGCACCUUCUUCUCAGUUUCCAGAGCAGUUACUGCGCAGCACUCACCACCCUCCAUUAUGCCUGCAGGUCUAUUGCUAGGUGGUGAGGCGGUCAAGUGCAGGGAAGGGCACAGUUAUUGCUGCAUCCCAGUGCCUAGUCCAGGCAAAGCAAGGACUGGAGCAAAGUAAGCGUUCGAGAAAUGUGAGCCGAAAUGAGAUACUGCUCUGGGUUGACUAGCAAAGCUGUUUUGACCCAGGUGGCCUCAUUCAACAGCCUCCUCAAAGCUUUCCUGCCACCCGUUAGUUAUGGCAAGCCCUGGUCUGGGCACACGGUGUGUCCCUGGCGGCCGUGACUGCCCUCUCCCUCCCAGUCUGUGGCAGAGGGCAGAGUCUGCCUUCUCAGGUCCUGGCUCUUUGGAUCCCACACAGCUGGGUGACCUCAGGGUUCUCCCCACCCAUGACAGCAUCUCCUGCAACCAUGCUUUCUUUAAACAAACACAGCAAAAGCAAGGCAAAGCAGGUGGUGGGCUGGAGGAGGCAGGGGCUGUGCAGAGGAGACAGGACACCCCUGAGAGGCAGAGCCAGGUGGGGCGGCCAGAAGGAGGGCAUGCAGACUACAAGGGGAAGUGGGGCACGGCCACAACACUCCCCUCUCUGUGCCCUGUCUGGUUCCACACACCCAGCCAUAAAGGACACAGCUCCUCUCAUUUUAAGAGCCCAUAUAAAGGCAGAAGGAAGUCACAUACACACACACACACACACACACACACACACGCGCGUGCACACAUACCCACACACACUCAUGCACCAAAGCCCUCAACUCAGCAAGAAGCCUUGUCUUUUCAGAUGCCAAACACUGAGCAGGCUUUGUUCUCCACCCACAAACCAGAGGCUGUCUCAGCAGGAAAGAGUUGGAGUUGGAGAAAAAGGAGAAUUAAGAAUCUAUCUGGCGAUGUGGAUUAAAUAAACAACAAAUUGGCAGAUUGUUUUUAAAAGGUAACAUCCACUAUUGGCAAACAGACAUUUCUAAUACACUGCUUGUGGGAGGGUGAAUUGGUAUGACCUUUCUACAGGGCAAACUGCAAUAGUAAUAAAAGGCUUAGGCCAGGCGGGGUGGCUCACGCCUGUAAUCCCAGCUCUUUGGGAGGCUGAGGCGGGAGGAUCACCUGAGGUCAAGAGUUCAAGACCAGCCUGGCCAACAUGGCAAAACCUGGUCUCUACUAAAAAUACAAAAAAAAAAAAAAAAAAAAAAAAA